RNAcentral lists this long non-coding RNA (1239 nucleotides) under Anser brachyrhynchus (Pink-footed goose). RNAcentral describes it as "lncRNA (ENSABRG00000002333.1)". The record is from RNAcentral. Lineage: Eukaryota; Metazoa; Chordata; Aves; Anseriformes; Anatidae.
AUUCAGUAUCUUUGAGGAACAGACAGAACCAAAUUUCUGAAAAAUAGCCUAUUUCAUCCCUCAGAAAAUUGAGCCUGUAAUUAUAUUCUAGAUCUUGAUACAGACAGUAUUUAUAUCAUUGCUAUGCACUUGUUCUUUAUAGGUAUGUUAACGUGCCAUUUUUUAAGUUUACCUAAUUUUUAUGUAUAGCUGAUUCAUUUUUUAGCAGCAGUAAAGGAACCUUGAAAACUUUAAUCUUUUUUCCACACAUUUUUUUGCAAAAAUCCAGGCACAGCUUCCCAUAGACGAGCUCAUAACGGAGCAUUUGCAGCCUCUGUAUUUACAGAAGGCCACCUGACACGACACAAAGCAGCCAGCGAAAGCUGAAUUCUUCCCCAGCGGAGCAAAGGGGUGAAGAAAUACUGAAAACGUGAUCCCAUGAGGGAUAACUUGGCCAGACUGCACAUGCAGCAGCUCCCGGCAGUGUGAGCAGGGUUUGGUAGGGCUCACGGGGGAGGCAGGCAGGUGGGGAGCUGCGAUUAGCCGGGGCCUCAGCGGGGACGGACGGGGUUAUCGGCGGCGGGAUGCCUGCCAGGUCACGUGCAGAUAUUUCUCUGAAGCGGGCGAUCGGCAGGAGUUUAGCAAUAAUAAAACGGGAUAAAGCGUGUUUGCAUAAACACGGAAAUGAGGCAGGCUCACACCACAAAAACAGCUGCAAAAACUGUUGGCGUUUUGGGGUCGGCCGCUUUCAGCUGAAAGACAGAGCUACAUAGUUCACUGUGGCAAGCUAAUAUAUUUAUGGUCCAAAGGGCUCUCCUCACCCCCAGACUUGAGGCUUACAGAGGAAUCCAAGGUAUGUAAUGAUGAUGUGAACAUGAUACACUUUACUGUAACCUGUGCUGCAGGCAGCUGUUAAUGCCAGUCUAACUUCUGCAGUAUGCAGCCAAAGGAAAGCUGUCUGCAGCAUAUGUAUAGCUUCAGUCUGCAGCAUACUUACUGUGAAGUCAAUGGCAUGCUGAAGUGGAUGCCGCAGAAGCAGAGAGCCAUUUGUUAAAAUUCAAGUCUCAGAUGUUAAUAUAUAUUUGGGAUAAUUUCUCUGCCUGUGAAAGAAAUUCAUUUCCUCCCUGCUAAAUUACUACUGCAGUAGCAUCUACAGUGUCGUACAAGGUCUCAGAGACUCAUUGUGCUAAACGCUGGGGAAACACAGGGAAAGAUCGGCAGGCUCCAAAGAAAUAAAAGUCAAAGGUGGCAAAAAGGUCA